UACGGAGGGAGCUAGCGUUGUUCGGAAUUACUGGGCGUAAAGCGCACGUAGGCGGCUUUUUAAGUCAGGGGUGAAAUCCUGGAGCUCAACUCCAGAACUGCCUUUGAUACUGAGGAUCUUGAGUUCGGGAGAGGUGAGUGGAACUGCGAGUGUAGAGGUGAAAUUCGUAGAUAUUCGCAAGAACACCAGUGGCGAAGGCGGCUCACUGGCCCGAUACUGACGCUGAGGCACGAAAGCGUGGGGAGCAAACAGG
This 253-nucleotide ribosomal RNA is filed under the name uncultured bacterium. RNAcentral describes it as "partial 16S ribosomal RNA". It matches the Rfam family "Bacterial small subunit ribosomal RNA", at positions 524 to 776 of the family's 1533-position model. The record is from RNAcentral.